RNAcentral lists this ribosomal RNA (253 nucleotides) under uncultured bacterium. Its description in RNAcentral is "partial 16S ribosomal RNA". It matches the Rfam family "Bacterial small subunit ribosomal RNA", at positions 524 to 776 of the family's 1533-position model. The record is from RNAcentral.
UACGAAGGGGGCUAGCGUUGCUCGGAAUCACUGGGCGUAAAGCGCGCGUAGGCGGAUCUUUAAGUCAGGGGUGAAAUCCCAAGGCUCAACCUUGGAACUGCCUUUGAUACUGGGGAUCUCGAGUCCGGAAGAGGUUGGUGGAACUCCGAGUGUAGAGGUGAAAUUCGUAGAUAUUCGGAAGAACACCAGUGGCGAAGGCGGCCAACUGGUCCGGCACUGACGCUGAGGUGCGAAAGCGUGGGGAGCAAACAGG